GGAAGGACAAACUAUUUAACUGGAGGAAGAAUGCAGCACUCUCUAAGGAAAUAGCCUGUUUACAGAGAGGAGAACCACGAUUUAAGAGGUGAUUUUUAUGGUGGUUGGCAGUUGAUUUGAUGGACUGAUUGAUACCACAGCUUAGAGGACAUACAUGUGUUCUGUAAGCAGCCUGAACUAGUGGGUAUCAGUUUUACUGUGAUGCUUUAAACCAUUCAUUUAUUCAGGUUUAACUGAAGCAGAGUUCAAGCAAUUCUUUUCCUUUGUCAUCUUAUGGCAAGAAGAGCAUAUAGAUAAAAGGGGCCAAGAUCAGUACUUCAGAGAACAAGGUCACAACCUGAUUGCCUGGUGCUACGAGGCUUCAAAUUACUGCAGCAGCUCACAUUCCUGUCUUUAGAAACCUUCCAUCCCAAAAUGGAGAUGUGCA
Molecule: non-coding RNA, 427 nt
Organism: Cyanistes caeruleus (blue tit)
Lineage: Eukaryota; Metazoa; Chordata; Aves; Passeriformes; Paridae
Source: RefSeq, a predicted model, not a curated record